Long non-coding RNA from Dromaius novaehollandiae (emu), 4130 nucleotides. RefSeq lists it as uncharacterized. The record is from RefSeq and is a predicted model, not a curated record. The transcript has 12 exons. Lineage: Eukaryota; Metazoa; Chordata; Aves; Casuariiformes; Dromaiidae.
CCUCGCAAACUUCUCCCCCUGCUUUCUCUGCUGAGGGAAAAAGGGAUGUGCAGUAAAAUGCCGUCUCUGGGACAGGUGCCAGCUCCUAGACAAAAGAAGUAAAAUAGGCGGUAAAGAGAGGAGGGGGGGAAAUUAAUAGCCAACAAAAAUAGGAAUCGAAAAUCUCGGAGAGGCAGCGCUGGUGAAAGUCAUGUUGCCUAGCUGGCCUUUUUUCUGAAUAUUUUCUUAGCCACGGGUUGAAAGGAGAAAGUUGAGGCAUACUUUUUAUUCAUGUCUUCUCUGCAGACAUUUGAAAGCGUAAAGGGAGGGUGGAGGAUGUCUUUCUCUCUCUCUCUCCCUUCUCUCUCUCUCUCUCUCUCUCUCUCUCUCCCUUCUCUCUCUCUUUCUCUCUCUCUCUCUCUCCCCCUUCUCUCUCUCUCUCUCUCUCUCUCCCUUCUCUCUCUCUCUCUCUCUCUCUCUCUUCCCUGAAUUAUUCAUAGUGUCAGUGGUGAAGCCAGGACUAUUAGCAUGCAUCAGACAUGCUGUUUGUCUGUUUGCUAACAUUCUUCAUUCAAGACUUGUUAACUACCAGACAAGCUUAACACGCUUCUCUCUUUCCCCUCCCCUUCCCUCUCUCUGUGUCUCUGUCUCCUCGCGCCUGCCUCCCCUCAUUUCUCCCUUCCCUUCCCUUUCAUGCCACCCCUCGCAGCCUCCCAUUGUUGUUGCCGGGAGCUGGCAGCCAGGGGUGGCGGUGGCAGGGGGAAGCAUGCGGACGAGGAGCCCGAGCCCGGUUGCUAGCAUAUUAGCCUGGGUGCAGUCUCCCUGUAAGGCGUGUGAAAUGUACAGCUGCAAAACUACAGUUUUAAACAAAAAAAACCUCUUCCUCAUAUGAACUGUCAUCCAAAACACAGGAUGAAAGUAGCUGAAGAGAAGUUGUUUAUGAUAUCAUCUGCAGGACUCCUAGAAAAUUCUUCAGAAACUUGGGCUUGUCUGUCUCAGGCUGCCCCUAAAAAAUUGAAGUAUUAAUCUGGCAAGAUGAAAUCAAGAUGCACAAAGAGAAGAUAUUGGAGACUAUUCUGCAAGGUGUUCAGGGAAUCCUGUGGUACUGACUUCUCAUGAGUUGGGAUGUUGUCAUUGACAGCUCAUUGGGAUUUUCAGAUCCACUGAUAACAUGCAAACUGGAGUCCGCCUGCCGUUGUCUGUUUGAGAUACGACAUUACAGCUAACAAGGGAGGCUAAGAAGUAACGUGAUGCCAGACAGAAGUAUUUUGGAUAGGUGUACAAUAAGAUCUCAAAGCUGCAAGCAAAGUCUGGGAUUACAUAACAGGGAGUAGGUUCUCCAAACGUGGCAGAUUGCCAUGUAAGGAGAGCUGGCAUAAGUGGAGUGAGGAGGGACAGAGCAAUCGCCAUGCCUGACUACAGACCUCUGCGGAAAUACAAUAGAAUGUCUUACUGGGGAACCCUCGCUAACCAGGUCAGAAGAUGAAAGAACUGAAGACUGGUCAUCUGUGCAGAGGAAAUGAUAAGGAAAAUGUUGAAAUACUGUCCAGUAUAUUUGCUAGGAAUGCUGUGAGAUAAAAAAGUCUCGUCUCCCCUGGAUGCUGGCCUCCCCCUGCUUUCCGAGCGGGAUGAUCUGGUGUCCGUUGUUGCUGCCGGGGAGAGCUCGGGAAGGCAGCACGGCAGGAGUUACUCAGCUGCGGCUCCUCGCAGCCCUGCGUGCGGCGCUUCGCAGCCAUCUUAGCUGUGGGCAGAAAGCCUGUCAGGACUCGCACCACGCGUCAGCUGAUCAAUUGGUCCUUUGAACCGUUUGCAGUGGACCAGCCGGCAUGAAGAGCUGCUGCACCAAAAGCACAGGGUUUAUUUCUGAACCGAAGGCACUUUCUGUGAGGUGACUGCACAGUACACAGGUCCCCGUAUUGAUUAUGCUGAAGGCAGUGGAAGAUCACUGCACCUGAAAUGUGAACUACUGUCUUUGGGGUGAGAUCUGGUUUCUAGUGAAGCAUUGCUUUAGUUUUGCUUUAGUUUUACUGGGUGUGGCUGACGUAAGUGAUCAUUCAUUCUUGUCUUUAGUUUACUGUUACUGAAAAUAUCAAGAAAUUAAAGCUAAUGAAAGCAGGAUAUUUGCUUUAAAAGUUUCUUAUUUAUUGAAGCAGUGCUUAUAUUACACUUCAGACUGGUAUCACAGUUAUUUCCACUUCUUUGGGUUUUCACUGAAUGAGGAGCAUUGUGUUCUAUUAAACAAGGUGUGGGGGGGGAAUAACAACCCCCUCAGACUCCAGCCUAGGUGUGAGAUUAGGGGUACGUUGUACUACAGUGGCCAUUAUGCUAGUCCUAUUAACCAAAGUCUGUGGAGUGUCAUAAGGUAUGUUUAGUUUGGCCAUCAAUUCAGAGCUGGAUUACUGUCCUUUGGGGGGUAGCAUAUUGUUCAAGUAAGCCGUAAAACUUCCUCACAGUCCUGAUAAAUUUUGCCUUCUGUUUUAUGGAUUUACCCAUGCAGAACCUGGGAAAGUCAGAGAAACUCAGCUGUUGCCUGUUAAGAUAGUAGAGGGAUAUCUGCAAGAAUGUUAAAGAAUCCCUCUAAAUCAGCAUCAGCUCUCUAAAUCAUAGUAAUCUUUUUUAAGGGACAAAAUUGGUUUGAUAAGAUGCAGUCAUGUCAGAACUGGAAAUACAAAAGUGCGGUUAUUAAAAAUUAAUGCUGUAUCUUCUUUCCCCUCGUGUAUCUUGUCACUGACAUUACUUUACAAGUUGCGUAUCUAUUAAAUGUUUCAAACACUUUCAAACUAGAGCUCAUUAAGCAAAAUCUCAACUGGCAUAUAGCAAACAGUGUUUCAGAUUCAGAACUGUUAAUAUUUGUCUCCAGAGCUUUUUGUCUUCUAGGUUGUCAUCAAGCAAUCCAGCUGUCUGGGAAAACAGUUUCUAUCUGAGAAUACAGUUUGUGUUUCAUCUGAUCGGAUUCUGACUGUCCUUUGGGGUGAGGUAGUAGGUUGUAUAGUUUUAGGGUUAUGCCCUGCCUGUCAGAUAACUAUACAAUCUACUGUCUUUCCUGAAGUGGCUGUGAUAUCAUCGCUGGAUAUGUCUUCAAAAGAUAAACCAAAUUUAUUUCAACUUAAAUAUUUGCUGGCUCUGUCUACAUGUUGGAUUUGGUUUUUGUAGCAGGUUUGUGAAAGAAUACAAAGGCCCUUACAGCUUUUAGAUUCCUAUACCUGUCAUUCAGGUUCAAAACCAGUGUAAUUUUCCUCAUCUUCAGAGAGGUAUGUGGUACAAGUGACAAGCUGCAGAGGUACUGCACAGUCCACAAUGGGCUUGCUCACACUUAGCUUCCUCCUGCUGCUAAUGUGCUCAUAAGAGCUGCAUUUGGAAACAGCUGACCCAUUUCUCCAUUACUUUGUGGCAUUUGCAUUUAUAUUCAACAGAAAAUGCCACUUUGAUUCUCCAGUUAUUUACAUGCACUUUGCAUAUACUGUUCAAGAAACUAAAAAGUGACGACUUGGAUUAAAAGCAAAGAGAAUGUCUUCUGGUUGCUUGUGGUCUACCCUGGGACUGGUAGACGCUUGGCCUCCUACGUGAAGAAAACUUUUAAUCAGUUUUUUUCACUGAUUUAACUUACUUUUUUAUUACAUACGUUAAUUUGUGAGGGAGAGUGCUUUCCAGUGCAAUUCUUAGUCUCUGGAGUGACCCCGACAGUUCUGACUGACUUUCAAGAAGGACUCGGAGGAAGGGCUGGCAGGAUGUAAUUAUGAUCGUUUCAAAGCUAAAAAGAUGUGGGCUAGAAAGUCUUAAGUCUUACUUGCAAAUGGUGAAAUGUUAGUUUUCUUCAGAAGACUCACUUGAUGCUCUAACAGGAUGAGGUAGUAGGUUGUGUGGUUUCAGGGUAGUGAUUUUGCCCCAAUCAGGAGAUAACUAUACAACCUACUGCCUUCCCUGAUGAGCAGCAUUACAGCAUCAGUCACUUAAUUUUCAGAAAAGCAAGGGCUAAAAUACACUUCUGUGACCAGCAAAGUAAGUCUACAUACAAUUGUUGUUGCCCUGUCCCUGAUAGUUUUAAAUUUAGUGACUUGCAUUAUUUUUGAUAACUGCCUGCAAAAUCACUGUCUUUCUUUAAAUCCCGCUUAUCAUGAAAAAUUCAAUUAAAAAGUUUUGCUUAUUCCAAA